This 431-nucleotide ribosomal RNA is filed under the name Salmonella enterica. Its description in RNAcentral is "partial 23S ribosomal RNA". It matches the Rfam family "Bacterial large subunit ribosomal RNA", at positions 776 to 1205 of the family's 2925-position model. The record is from RNAcentral. Lineage: Bacteria; Pseudomonadati; Pseudomonadota; Gammaproteobacteria; Enterobacterales; Enterobacteriaceae.
GAACCGACUAAUGUUGAAAAAUUAGCGGAUGACCUGUGGCUGGGGGUGAAAGGCCAAUCAAACCGGGAGAUAGCUGGUUCUCCCCGAAAGCUAUUUAGGUAGCGCCUCGUGAAUUCAUCUCCGGGGGUAGAGCACUGUUUCGGCUAGGGGGCCAUCCCGGCUUACCAACCCGAUGCAAACUGCGAAUACCGGAGAAUGUUAUCACGGGAGACACACGGCGGGUGCUAACGUCCGUCGUGAAGAGGGAAACAACCCAGACCGCCAGCUAAGGUCCCAAAGUCAUGGUUAAGUGGGAAACGAUGUGGGAAGGCCCAGACAGCCAGGAUGUUGGCUUAGAAGCAGCCAUCAUUUAAAGAAAGCGUAAUAGCUCACUGGUCGAGUCGGCCUGCGCGGAAGAUGUAACGGGGCUAAACCAUGCACCGAAGCUGCGG